RNAcentral lists this ribosomal RNA (409 nucleotides) under uncultured bacterium. RNAcentral describes it as "bacterial SSU rRNA". It matches the Rfam family "Bacterial small subunit ribosomal RNA", at positions 355 to 775 of the family's 1533-position model. The record is from RNAcentral.
UCGAGGAUCUUCGUCAAUGGGGGCAACCCUGAACGAGCGAUGCCGCGUGCGCGAUGAAGGCCUUCGGGUUGUAAAGCGCGAAAGUGGGGAGAAAAGCCGAAAGGCCUGAUCUAUCCACAGUAAGCUCGGGCUAAGUUCGUGCCAGCAGCCGCGGUAAGACGAACCGAGCGAACGUUGUUCGGAAUAACUGGGCUUAAAGGGCGCGUAGGCGGGCUGUCAAGUUUGGGGUGAAAUGCCACGGCUCAACCGUGGAACUGCCUCAAAUACUGACGGUCUCGAGGGAGGUAGGGGCGAGCGGAACGGAUGGUGGAGCGGUGAAAUGCGUUGAUAUCAUCCGGAACUCCGGUGGCGAAGGCGGCUCGCUGGACCUUUUCUGACGCUGAGGCGCGAAAGCUAGGGGAGCAAACGG